CCUGACUGCUAUCGGAUUGAUACUAAGCCAUGCGAGUCAUUGUAGCAAUACAAGGCAGACGGCUCAGUAACGCGUAGUCAACCUACCCUAUGGACGGGAAUAACCUCGGGAAACUGAGUAUAAUGCCCGAUAGAGCAUUAUGCCUGGAAUGGUUUAUGUUCCAAAUGAUUUAUCGCCAUAGGAUGGGACUGCGGCCUAUCAGUUUGUUGGUGAGGUAAUGGCCCACCAAGACUAUUACAGGUACGGGCUCUGAGAGGAGUAGCCCGGAGAUGGGUACUGAGACACGGACCCAGGCCCUAUGGGGCGCAGCAGGCGAGAAAACUUUGCAAUGUGCGAAAGCACGACAAGGUUAAUCCGAGUGGUUUCUGCUAAAGGAACCUUUUGUUAGUCCUAAAAACACUAACGAAUAAGGGGUGGGCAAGUUCUGGUGUCAGCCGCCGCGGUAAAACCAGCACCUCAAGUGGUCAGGAUGAUUAUUGGGCCUAAAGCAUCCGUAGCCUGCUCUGUAAGUUUUCGGUUAAAUCUGUAUGCUCAACAUACAGGCCGCCGGGAAUACUGCAGAGCUAGGGAGUGGGAGAGGUAGACGGUACUCGGGAGGAAGUGGUAAAAUGCUUUGAUCUCUCGAUGACCACCUGUGGCGAAGGCGGUCUACCAGAACACGUCCGACGGUGAGGGAUGAAAGCUGGGGGAGCAAACCGGAUUAGAUACCCGGGUAGUCCCAGCUGUAAACGAUGCAGACUCGAUGAUGCAAUGGCAUAGAGCUAUUGCAGUAUCGCAGGGAAGCCGUUAAGUCUGCCGCCUGGGAAGUACGUACGCAAGUAUGAAACUUAAAGGAAUUGGCGGGGGAGCACCACAAGGGUGAAGCCUGCGGUUC
Molecule: ribosomal RNA, 874 nt
Filed under: uncultured archaeon
Lineage: Archaea
Description: bacterial SSU rRNA
Rfam family: Archaeal small subunit ribosomal RNA
Source: RNAcentral